UCGCGGCUUAUCACCGGCAGUCCCCUUAGAGUGCCCAACUGAAUGGUGGCAACAUAGGACGAGGGUUGCGCUCGUUGCGGGACUUAACCCAACAUCUCACGACACGAGCUGACGACAACCAUGCACCACCUGUACAGAACCCUUGCGGACCCGACAUCUCUGCCGGAUUUCCCUGUAUGUCAAGCCUUGGUAAGGUUCUUCGCGUUGCGUCGAAUUGAACCACAUGCUCCACCGCUUGUGCGGGCCCCCGUCAAUUCCUUUGAGUUUUAACCUUGCGGCCGUACUCCCCAGGCGGGGCGCUUAAUGCGUUAGCUACGGCACGGAUCCCGUGGAAGGAAACCCACACCUAGCGCCCACCGUUUACGGCGUGGACUAC
Molecule: unclassified non-coding RNA, 376 nt
Filed under: uncultured Actinomycetes bacterium
Lineage: Bacteria; Bacillati; Actinomycetota; Actinomycetes
Description: uncultured actinobacterium contains 16S-23S intergenic spacer region
Source: RNAcentral